RNAcentral lists this microRNA (22 nucleotides) under Gallus gallus (chicken). RNAcentral's name for it is "gga-miR-1555-3p". The record is from miRBase by way of RNAcentral. Lineage: Eukaryota; Metazoa; Chordata; Aves; Galliformes; Phasianidae.
CAGGGUUAUUGGUUUUGUGUGA